Molecule: signal recognition particle RNA, 192 nt
Filed under: Agathobacter rectalis
Lineage: Bacteria; Bacillati; Bacillota; Clostridia; Lachnospirales; Lachnospiraceae
Description: signal recognition particle sRNA large type
Rfam family: Bacterial large signal recognition particle RNA
About the family: The signal recognition particle (SRP) is a universally conserved ribonucleoprotein involved in the co-translational targeting of proteins to membranes. Archaeal SRP consists of a 7S RNA and homologues of the eukaryotic SRP19 and SRP54 proteins. In most bacteria, the SRP consists of a 4.5S RNA and the Ffh protein (a homologue of the eukaryotic SRP54 protein).
Source: RNAcentral
CCGAGCAGCCGGGGUGGUAGCGGUACCUUGAACCAACAAUCCGCUAUAGUUGGGGUGAUGCUUCGUAGAGGGCUUGUCUUGCGCAAUGGAAAUCUAUGAACCGUGUCAGGGUGGGAACACAGCAGCACUAAGUAGAAGCUUUCAUGUGACGCGAGGCAGCCUGGAGGGAGUUAACUGUGGAGGUAACGUCUG